RNAcentral lists this ribosomal RNA (254 nucleotides) under uncultured bacterium. Its description in RNAcentral is "partial 16S ribosomal RNA". It matches the Rfam family "Bacterial small subunit ribosomal RNA", at positions 524 to 776 of the family's 1533-position model. The record is from RNAcentral.
UACGUAGGGGGCGAGCGUUGUCCGGAUUUAUUGGGCGUAAAGAGCUCGUAGGCGGUUUGGCAAGUCGGGUGUGAAAACUCCGGGCUCAACUCGGAGACGCCACUCGAUACUGCCAUGACUCGAGUCCGGUAGGGGAGUGCGGAAUUCCUGGUGUAGCGGUGAAAUGCGCAGAUAUCAGGAGGAACACCGGUGGCGAAGGCGGCACUCUGGGCCGGUACUGACGCUGAGGAGCGAAAGCGUGGGGAGCAAACCGG